Molecule: non-coding RNA, 606 nt
Organism: Heterocephalus glaber (naked mole-rat)
Lineage: Eukaryota; Metazoa; Chordata; Mammalia; Rodentia; Bathyergidae
Source: RefSeq, a predicted model, not a curated record
GGCGCAGGCGGGGCCGCGUCGAAAUCCCAGUUCCUUUUGGUCCCAGGCGCGUCGCCAUCUUGCAAGGGCGGAGCCCACCGGCCUCCUUUGUGGAGGCGGAGUUCUGACGUAAGGGGUCACGCUCCGAGCCAAGGCGGGAAAACUCGAGAUUCUCUGCGCGCUUUUCUGCUGGAAGCACUUUCCUUGAGCACUGCCCGGCGCCCCAGCUGCGACUUGGAGCUCAGCAUAAUGAAUGAAUGGACCAGCAGGUCAUAGCCACCUUUGUCUCUCCAGAUUCGGUCCCGAUGUCGCCCAACUGUCUACUCACGACUCCCUUUCCUUAUGGUGGAUUUUGCACCUGACCAGAGAGAGGCCCUAGGAACUCAAUGAUCAAUGAGGCUCCAGACCCCACUUCUCACCAAGUACACCAAGCAGAGUCAACAGCCCAGAGUCUCCCACUGUUUCAACUGUUCUUCCACGUCCUCCACCUUGGGAACCAGACAGGAACCCAGACAGCCAGGAUCCUCCUAAACCCCCUCAUCUUCACAAUUACCAAAACCCAGCUGGUGAGUGGGUCCAGCCUACCCACCUGUCCUUAGACCCACCUCUCCACCCAGCUCCGCCCAA